UGGUGGCAAGAGUUGGAUUUAGCUCCAGUGUUGGGAUAGGUUUAAUUGAGGAAGCAAAACACUUAUCAACAGAAUUCCUUCUUAUCAGCCGACCAAGAAAUAAAUCAAAUAGGCUUGCAGAACUCUUAGUGUGCGAAAGUGGCAGGCUGCAUUUACUCCAGAUGGCUAUCUUGAUAUAGGCAGGACACUUAGUCGAAUACAACGCAGGGUGGUGUAUGAAUAUGGCAGAAUAAUUUUUCUCAAAAGGGAAGAGCGCGUAUUAGCCAGAAACCAAAAAGCUAACAUUGCUGACUUCCAAGUUUGAGUUUACUAGAAGAGGUUGUUGGAGAAGUCCUCAGAUACGCAAAUCCAGAAUUUCUUCUUACAGCCUUCUUAAUCAAUUAGGCUGAACCUCAUGUACUCAUACUCCUUUUUUUCAGUGUCAGAUAUUUCAAGUUUUCAUUUCCCUGCUGCUGCAUGCUCUUGUUGUUUGUAAUGAAACAUGUAUAUCUUGAGCCUAUGCCAGCUUAUAAUGAUAUGCAUAUCUUGAAUUUA
Rhododendron vialii is the source of this 534-nucleotide long non-coding RNA. RefSeq lists it as uncharacterized. The transcript has 3 exons. Lineage: Eukaryota; Viridiplantae; Streptophyta; Magnoliopsida; Ericales; Ericaceae. The record is from RefSeq and is a predicted model, not a curated record.